AACAACUUUCUACUGUUGGGAGUCAGGAGUCCAUGGAGGACAGCCUGUCACUAAUGGCAGAUUUUCCUUACAGUGUUCAUGGGCAAAAGCAACUUCACAGAAGAAAAAAUCGCGCAGAUCAAGUCUAAAGAAAAUCUCUCCAGUGUAAAGAAGGAGCAGACUUAAAACUCUGGAUUGAAGUUCAGUAACUUUCACUGUGGUGGUGGCUGCAGUAAGGGGACAGAUCUGAAAAGGAGCGGAUUCCUUUGUGUCUUCAGCUCUUUGAAUUUUUUAUUUAUUGUUUAUCUUUUCUGCAUAUAUAUGCUAUUUUAAAAUAUUAAUUGGAACUGCCAAUUACAAAAUAAUAUCGAGAAAAGCUUUUCUUGGUCUAAAGAUGUGAACAGGCUUGAAUGUGAACAGGAAGGUAUCUUUUAGCAGCACUUGGAGCCGGUCUUGGGAGGUGGUGCAGCUUGGAGAACUCUGAUACACAUGCUUGGGUAGAUGGUUUAAAGAUUUGGCUCUGAGAAGAAUGUUAUUUAAUAGACAUAAUUCUAAGAUUGCUUUUUCAUUAAGGCAGAAAAAUACAUGAUCUUUAUGAGUGAAAAAGCAGGGAAAUGAGAGAAAGGAGAAACAGAAUCCUGUAGCUUGACUCUCUGUAAGCAAGAAGUAGGAGCAAACUAAGGGAAAUACUUGGUCCAUUUAGAUAGCAGUUUACUCACACUCAGUGACCUGCUGGCCUCCACCUCUGCUGAGGGAAGGGGCUUUGCUCCAGUCUCUAUGGCACUGAGGGUUGUUCCGGUCCAUGGAAGAGUCAUUCUAGGAAGCCUCGUGUUCCUAGGGAUACAGGGCCGGUCUUUGAGACAGGAAGCUUCUGGCUGUGAACAGUGGAGGAAGGAGUGAUUUUCUUGUGAAAACUUUGGCUGCUGUCUGCAUGAGCUCUGCUCUGACUUUGCACGUUAGUGUGCCUUUCCCUUUAUGCAGCCUUUUCCAGCUGUACAGCAGAAACUUGCCUAGUUCAGAAAACGUGCCAGAGGGUGGCUUCAGAGGGAAGAUGAUCUUGUGUGAUCAUUCUCUGCAUUUGAACUGUUGAAUAGAGAAAUCCAGCUAGAGGGAUUCUUACCGCCUUACUUGAAAUCUAUGUGUUUGUAACCCCUUAUCUCUGGAAUUACAUUACAAAAAACAAACAAAACAAACAAAAAACCAAAAAACUGGAAUCUCAGGCUGAGAAUAAGAAGACUGAGUAAAAGUGAAGAGAACAGCUUCUCCAUCAUCACUACUAACAGCUCUUUCUCCAAAGGAUUAACAUGUUUUCCCCUUAAGGACUUGAGAAUGAGAACGGACCCCAUGUGUUUUUAGGCAUUACCUUUCUUAGCAGACUGAUGUUAUCUUUUAUAGAGUUUUUUCACUAUGCAUUUGGUGGAUCUUUAUAAGCUAUUGACCUAAUUGGACUCUAGAUCAGUUGUAGCUAAAGGAGAAAAACAAACCAACAGAACCUAACCACAAAAAAUAAGCCAAU
This 1495-nucleotide long non-coding RNA is filed under the name Rattus norvegicus (Norway rat). Its description in RNAcentral is "long non-coding RNA NONRATT000170". The record is from RNAcentral. Lineage: Eukaryota; Metazoa; Chordata; Mammalia; Rodentia; Muridae.